RNAcentral lists this long non-coding RNA (263 nucleotides) under Lathyrus oleraceus (garden pea). RNAcentral describes it as "Pisum sativum (pea) long non-coding RNA (PSAT_LNC020922)". The record is from RNAcentral. Lineage: Eukaryota; Viridiplantae; Streptophyta; Magnoliopsida; Fabales; Fabaceae.
UUUAACCUCCCCGUGUGUGAGUGUGCUGCCACUCUGAGUGUAUUAGCUAAGUUAAUUUCCUGCUAGAUGUGAGAUUUCCGCUGCUAUGGACUCUGUUGUGAGACCAAAGUGUUUUAGCCAAAAAUUUGCCAAAGGGGGAGUUUGUAUGUGUUUAAUUGGCUGCAUUGUAUGGUAAAACACUAGCUGUGUUUGUUUGAAUGCAUUGUAUGUUAGAAUAUCUAGUUGUACUCUGAUGUCUUGGCUGAUGUCAUGACAUACUUGAG